GCCCCCAUCGUCUAGUGGCCUAGGACAUCACCCUUUCAAGGUGACGGCACGGGUUCGAAUCCCGUUGGGGGUGCCA
This 76-nucleotide transfer RNA is filed under the name Ilumatobacteraceae bacterium. RNAcentral describes it as "tRNA-Glu". It matches the Rfam family "tRNA". From Rfam's summary of the family: Transfer RNA (tRNA) molecules are approximately 80 nucleotides in length. Their secondary structure includes four short double-helical elements and three loops (D, anti-codon, and T loops). RNAcentral also lists the same sequence under 1 other name. The record is from RNAcentral. Lineage: Bacteria; Bacillati; Actinomycetota; Acidimicrobiia; Acidimicrobiales; Ilumatobacteraceae.